AGAAUCAACGCUGGCGGCGUGCCUAACACAUGCAAGUCGAACGCGAAAGGGGAGCAAUCCCUGAGUAGAGUGGCGAACGGGUGAGUAACACGUGGGUGACCUGCCUUCGAGUGGGGGAUAACGUUCCGAAAGGAACGCUAAUACCGCAUGACAUCCUGCUUUUGGAAAAGCGGAGAUCAAAGCUGGGGAUUCGCAAGAACCUAGCGCUUGAAGAGGGGCCCGCGCCUGAUUAGCUAGUUGGUGAGGUAACGGCUCACCAAGGCUACGAUC
This 270-nucleotide ribosomal RNA is filed under the name uncultured soil bacterium. RNAcentral's name for it is "partial 16S ribosomal RNA". It matches the Rfam family "Bacterial small subunit ribosomal RNA", at positions 26 to 281 of the family's 1533-position model. The record is from RNAcentral.